GAGAGUAAACAGUGCGUGAAACCGCUCAGAGGUAAACGGGUGGAGUUGAACUGCGAACUCCGAGAAUUCAACUGGUGAGUGUGGUAUGAGCUUGGCAUAAUGGUUGGCUCUGCGGGUCUGCUUAGCUGCAGGUCUUCACCUUUUGGUGGGGAUGCGCGAUACACUUGUCAAGUGUUGCGCGCUCGUUGAGUUACUCGGACAUACUCGCCAGUGCACUUUCUCGGGGUGUUCACCACGACCGGCGCCGCUACUUGUCUAGUAUGGUUAAACCGGUUUUGCUUUGUCCUUGUGGCUUAGUUUGAUCGGGAUGGCAGGUAACUCGUUGACUUGUGUGUUGGCCUCGGUUGACAUGCGCUUGGUUUUCGAGUGUAAUCAGCUGACUGUACUGGUGCUAUGUAGUGCGUCGGAGACGGCGGCUUGUGGUGUGUGCCUGCGUGCCUAUUUGCUGACGGAAUCGGGUUUGGUUAUUUUGUUGCCUGUUCUGCAGGCCUGGUGAUGGCCCGGUUUCGCUUGGUGAGUGGGAGCGUGUGUGACACUUAUCAGGGCCUAUAGUCUGUGGUGUUGUGGUAGACUAUCCACCUGACCCGU
RNAcentral lists this ribosomal RNA (588 nucleotides) under Paramonostomum anatis. Its description in RNAcentral is "partial large subunit ribosomal RNA". Lineage: Eukaryota; Metazoa; Platyhelminthes; Trematoda; Plagiorchiida; Notocotylidae. The record is from RNAcentral.